Molecule: non-coding RNA, 84 nt
Organism: Octopus bimaculoides (California two-spot octopus)
Lineage: Eukaryota; Metazoa; Mollusca; Cephalopoda; Octopoda; Octopodidae
Source: Rfam
GUCAGGAUGGCCGAGCGGUCUAAGGCGCUGCGUUCAGGUCGCAGUCGGGUCAUCUCGGCGUGGGUUCGAAUCCCACUUCUGACA